CCUCCUUGAACCCUACGCAUGUGCCAUUUACCUGCUGAAGAGAGAACACACCCUGACAAAAAAGGGGGUUGCCAGGGUUCAGCAUCUCCCAGGAGAAUGCACAUUUCUUCUACAUUUCCUUUGCUGUCCAAUUAUUUCAUAUGCAAUCUUACUCAAGCGGGCUCCAGAUUCAGAUGCUUGGCGCGACCCAUCGGAAGCACCCCCACCAGUAAUUAUUGACAGGCACAAGCACUACGAGAUCGACGCCGUCCUUGACUCCCGCUACUCACGCAAACGCUUACAAUAUUUAGUCUCUUGGGUUGGAUACCCUUCUGGCCAUAAUCAAUGGAUUUAUGCUGAAAAUAUUGAUGCCCCCUCUUUAAUUUCUGCUUUUCAUAAGUCUUUCCCCCACAAGCCAGGAGUGGAGGGAGCUUUCUUUGGGGAGGCGGAGUGUAAAGUUGUGGGUUGAUUCUUGCUUUCUGUUCAUCAGCCUGGCCUUGGCAACAUUCCUCAGACUGGGCUGUGUGCCCAGGAUUUUGGUUAUCAUAACCUUGCUGUCUAUCUGUGCUUACUAUAUGUGUGUGAAGUCUUACUUUCUGUCUGCGUGAGAAUCUACGUUUCAGGGGGGAAUCUGCCGGGUGUUGUGGGCGGGGGCCAGAGAGCUCGUAAAAGCAGCGUUUUGGUGGGGAAAGGUCAGAGUCUGCAUUCCGUGUAUUGUGCAUCAUGGAAGUUUAAGAAAUAAAGAACUGCUGAAGUUA
Molecule: long non-coding RNA, 737 nt
Organism: Sphaerodactylus townsendi
Lineage: Eukaryota; Metazoa; Chordata; Lepidosauria; Squamata; Sphaerodactylidae
Exons: 2
Source: RefSeq, a predicted model, not a curated record